AGAGCGAACGCUGGCGGCGUGCUUAACACAUGCAAGUCGAACGCGCAGCGUUCUGUAGCAAUACAGGGUGUGGGCGCGUGGCGAACGGGUGCGUAACACGUGGAUAACCUUCCUUGAGGUGGGGAAUAACCCAGUGAAAAUUGGGCUAAUACCGCAUAACAUCGCGAUGGCACAUGCUGAUGCGAUCAAAGGCGCAAGUCGCCACAAGAGGGAUCCGCGGCCGAUUAGCUUGUUGGCGAGGUAAUGGCUCACCAAGGCAAUGAUCGGUAGCCGGACUGAGAGGUUGGCCGGCCACACUGGAACUGAGACACGGUCCAGACUCCUACGGGAGGCAGCAGUGGGGAAUCUUGCGCAAUGGGGGAAACCCUGACGCAGCAACGCCGCGUGGAGGAUUAAGCCCCUUGGGGUGUAAACUCCUUUCGAUCGGGACGAUUAUGACGGUACCGGAAGAAGAAGCACCGGCUAACUCUGUGCCAGCAGCCG
RNAcentral lists this ribosomal RNA (483 nucleotides) under uncultured bacterium. Its description in RNAcentral is "SSU rRNA". It matches the Rfam family "Bacterial small subunit ribosomal RNA", at positions 26 to 517 of the family's 1533-position model. The record is from RNAcentral.